AUGCACCUGGGGAUUGCAGCUCCAUGCACCUGGGAUUGCAGCUCCAUGCACCUGGGGAUUGCAGCUCCAUGCACCUGGGGAUUGCAGCUCCAUGUGCCAGGGUUAUCAGAGCUCCACACACAGGGAAUUUGGGCUCUGUGCAUGAAGUGUCAGAACUCCACACAUCGGGGGUAUGGAUGCCUCAUGUCCUGGGGUACCAGACCUUCCUGCACUGGGGGCUCUGGGAUACCUCCAUGUCUGGAGUAUCAAACCUCUGGGAAUCUGUGGCUCUGCGCACGGGGAUACCGGAGCUCUGUGUGCCCGGUGAUGCUCCAUCCUCCGGGGUACCGGAGCUCCAAAUACCGGGGAGUGGAUGCUCCAUCCUCCAGGGUACCGGAGCUCCAAAUACCGGGGAGUGGAUGCUCCAUCCUCCGGGGUACCGGAGCUCCAAAUACCGGGGAGUGGAUGCUCCAGGGAGUGGAUGCUCCAUCCUCCGGGGUACCGGAGCUCCAAAUACCGGGGAGUGGAUGCUCCACAUUCCGGGGUACCAGAGCUCCAAAUACCGGGGAGUGGAUGCUCCAUCCUCCAGGGUACCAGAGCUCCAAAUACCGGGAUACCGGAGCUCCACACUCCGGGGUACCAGAGCUCCAAAUACCGGGGAGUGGAUGCUCCAUCCUCCAGGGUACCGGAGCUCCAAAUACCGGGGAGUGGAUGCUCCAUCCUCCGGGGUACCGGAGCUCCAAAUACAGGGGAGUGGAUGCUCCAUCCUCCGGGGUACCAGAGCUCCAAAUACCGGGAUACCGGAGCUCCAAAUACCGGGGUACUGGAGCUCCACACUCCGGGGUACCGGAGCUCCAAAUACCGGGGAGUGGAUGCUCCAUCCUCCGGGGUACCAGAGCUCCAAAUACCGGGGAGUGGAUGCUCCAUCCUCCGGGGUACCGGAGCUCCAAAUACCGGGGAGUGGAGGCUCCACACUCCGGGGUACCGGAGCUCCAAAUACCGGGAUACCGGAGCUCCAUCCUCCGGGGUACCGGAGCUCCAAAUACCGGGAUACCGGAGCUCCGCGCCCCGGGGGAAGUGGGGCUCCACCCUCCAGGAUACCAGAGCUGCAAGCCCCGGGCUAGCGGAGCUCCCCGCCCCCGUGCCCGGCCGCUCCGGAGCCGCCCCGGG
This 1149-nucleotide long non-coding RNA is filed under the name Cyanistes caeruleus (blue tit). Its description in RNAcentral is "lncRNA (ENSCCEG00000006316.1)". The record is from RNAcentral. Lineage: Eukaryota; Metazoa; Chordata; Aves; Passeriformes; Paridae.